This 77-nucleotide transfer RNA is filed under the name Alphaproteobacteria bacterium. Its description in RNAcentral is "tRNA-Pro". It matches the Rfam family "tRNA". Rfam says of the family: Transfer RNA (tRNA) molecules are approximately 80 nucleotides in length. Their secondary structure includes four short double-helical elements and three loops (D, anti-codon, and T loops). Lineage: Bacteria; Pseudomonadati; Pseudomonadota; Alphaproteobacteria. The record is from RNAcentral.
CGGGCUGUAGCGCAGCCUGGUAGCGCACCUGCUUCGGGAGCAGGGGGUCGGAGGUUCGAAUCCUCUCGCUCCGACCA